Molecule: ribosomal RNA, 753 nt
Filed under: Triticum aestivum (bread wheat)
Lineage: Eukaryota; Viridiplantae; Streptophyta; Magnoliopsida; Poales; Poaceae
Description: partial small subunit ribosomal RNA
Source: RNAcentral
AUGAAGCCACGUGACCCCCUCUUGAAGCUACCAAAUGCGGCGCGGCUGAAGAAGUGCAACGCAUCCGCGAAGAAGAACAAGGCGGCGGACGGCUCCGGCUCUUCGAAGCCGUCGAGGAAGAAGCUUGCAGGGUGUGCGACAGGUGCGGCGGCUACCGAAGCACCGACGAGCUCACUUGUUGAGCCGGUGGCCGACGCGCACAAGGUGUUGAGGAAAUGCCCCAAAAGUAUAAAAUUCGCCAACUUUUUGUUGUUGUUAUUUUUUGAAUGCACACAUAUAGAUAGCUUAUUUGCUUCAUUGUAUAUACUUUGUAGCUUCAACGAUGAGGCAUAUAUGUCAACUAUGGGUGUUGGCUCCAACAACUCGCAUUGGUCUCAAAUCAAUGACAUGCAUUUCGAUGACCAUGAGUUUGAGGUGGACGAGGAUGGUGAGGGCAUUGUCGACGCACCGAAAGGAAGAGGAGGCAACUACACCAACGAAGAAGACGUCUUACUAUGCAAUACUUGGUUGCAAGGGUCGAGGGAUCCAUCCGUUGGAGGUGAUCAAAGUAGAGAUGCUUAUUGGAACAGGAUGAAGGAGCACUUUGAUCUACACAACAAUAGUGGAAUUGACCAAUCCGACCGAUAUCUUCGCUCCCGGUGGUCGACAAUCAACAAAAAUUGUCAGAAGUGGGCGGCCGCACAAAAGGCGGUUGACAAGUUGAACCCAAGUGGCAGAACUUUGCAUUUUAUCAGCAGGGUCGUGGCUUGGUGA